AUUGCAGUGAGUUACGCGUUAACCAGCUCUUCUCUGGUGACGAGUUUUUCAUCAUUGUUGGCUGAGCAAAUAGGCAUUUUAUUUCUUGUGUGAUAAACACCAAAUAGGCCUUAGUUUGCAGACACGCUUCAGAACUGUACUUAAUUAUUUUUGUGCAAAAUAAAUUCAAACUUGCAGUGAACUUGUUACCAAAACUUCAGUGUUACAGUUCACUGUAUAUUAAAAGCUAAGUACAAAUGAGGUGAGCAUACAUCAGCAUGAAACGCUUGGAAUGGAAGAAGUGCUUAACACAGGUUUUGUUUAUCCAGUGACAUAGGGUUAUGUAUUGACCUGAACUACACCUAAAUCAAGAUCUGCUUUCCUAAAACAAUUUUGUAGUUCUGCCAGUCUAGCAGUAACCUGUGGCCAAUGGAAGAGGAGCUGGUGAGACAUCCAAAGUUUUCUAUGGCUCUUUAUGGAUGGUUUAUGGAAUGUGUAUAGUGGGCAGAGUUGUCUGGAAUGGAGAAGUUACUCUGUGUAGUGCUACCAUAUCCCAGACUUGUUUGUGAUACAUCAUCCACUAGAUUAGUGCUCAUAUUCUACCUGCUAUCAAGGAUAGAUUUAGGUUGGUUGCAGGAAGCUUUAGCUGCUGUGUUCUGGUUUUCACUGAAUGCUAGAAAGUGCAGCUCACUUGGAACUGGUAAUGCAGUGGUAUUUAGUUAUCUAGUACCCUUGCUAUGAAGACUAAGCCUUAAGUUAUGUCUGUGAAUCUUGAAUUUCACAAGUUAUUCAGUGGCUGAAUGCCAUGAAGACUGCAGCUACUACAGGAAAAAAUGUUAGAUAAAUUUUCUAAUUUAUGUUAUUCAAAUAAGGGACAAAAACAAGUACAGUGAAAGGUAGUGCUCAGUAAAAUUGAUUCCUGCUGAAUAACUUGCUGUAGUUCUUAAUGACUAUAAGGCUGAGCAGUAGAUUUAUGUGUGCUCUGAUGAAUGGGCAAAGGCAUUGCCUUGCUUUUUUUUCUAUUCUUUUAGAGUGAAAGGGGUGGUCUCCAAGUGAAUGUGAGUCACUUAAAUUCUUAUUCCCAAACCAUCUGGCAGGUUUUCUGUAGAGAAAGCAAAGCCAAGGGCUGUAAUAAACACUUAAUAUCAAGUCUCCAGAUAGUUGGAAGUGGAAAAAUGUAAUAAUAUUCAUCUGUUACAAGAAGAAAUGAAUCCUUAGAAGUUAAAUAAUAAGAUAUUGGCAGUUUUGAAACAGACGUAGCUAAAAGUUUCUACAGUACAUGGGGUAUGUUUUUAACAUUUCUCUGUGUGUAUAUUGAUGUUUAUCUAUGAAAAGAAGGAAUCUGAAGACUUGGGAUAGAAAAUUGCCUGGCUGUUAGUCAGAAUACCUUGAGUUAUGAUCUCCAGCUGAAAAAAUCUGGCCUCCAUUUUCCUGCUUUUUAUGGAGUUGCUGUGUGGAAUACCAAACAACCAGUUGAAAAUAUACUUGAUGAUGUUAAGUAUUAUUUGUGUGACAUGCAGUGGAACUUAGUAAAGUGCCUAAAGAGAGGCUGCAGGAGGAAUUUUUUCCUGAAGUGCAAGUGGGACUUGUUUUCUGAGAUUCUCAGCUAAUAGGAAAAUGGGAUUUAAGUUCAUAAAUCACGUGUGUUCUUCUGAAGAUAUUUCUCAGUUUUCUUGAAGAAUAUUUUGGGUGCUCUGUAGAUAACUA
This is a long non-coding RNA of Rhea pennata, 1686 nucleotides long. RefSeq lists it as uncharacterized. The transcript has 3 exons. Lineage: Eukaryota; Metazoa; Chordata; Aves; Rheiformes; Rheidae. The record is from RefSeq and is a predicted model, not a curated record.